RNAcentral lists this long non-coding RNA (206 nucleotides) under Capsicum annuum. RNAcentral's name for it is "long non-coding RNA (CANN_LNC020556)". Lineage: Eukaryota; Viridiplantae; Streptophyta; Magnoliopsida; Solanales; Solanaceae. The record is from RNAcentral.
GCGCCCCACAGAACAAACAAGCGCUCAAAGAAAGACUGAAGAAGGCUUUGCACGAUAUAGAAAGCCAAGACACCAGCAACGAUGAAGUCCUACAGCUUCUAGAAGAAGCUUCCUCCACCAGCAGCAGUGACAACAAUGGGGAUAUGUUAAAUCCCAAAGGAAUUGCCAGGGCCUACAUGGACCCUUACUAAGAAUAGAGAAACGAC